UUCCUCACUUAUAAGCCGGGGGACUAGUCUUUGCUAAGUUCACUAGUAAAACGUGAGGAAAAUCAUAGAGACAACCAGACACCGGGGAUGUUUUGAUGUUUUCGGUCACUAUGUGUGUCCCACAUUA
This 127-nucleotide small nucleolar RNA is filed under the name Caenorhabditis remanei. Its description in RNAcentral is "Caenorhabditis snoRNA ceN101". It matches the Rfam family "Caenorhabditis snoRNA ceN101". The record is from Rfam by way of RNAcentral. Lineage: Eukaryota; Metazoa; Nematoda; Chromadorea; Rhabditida; Rhabditidae.